Molecule: ribosomal RNA, 468 nt
Filed under: uncultured bacterium
Lineage: Bacteria
Description: partial 16S ribosomal RNA
Rfam family: Bacterial small subunit ribosomal RNA
Source: RNAcentral
GACGAACGCUGGCGGCGUGCUUAACACAUGCCAGUCGAACGGAAAGGCCCUGCUUUUGUGGGGUGCUCAAGUGGCGAACGGGUGAGUAACACGUGAGUAACCUGCCCUUGACUUUGGGAUAACUUCAGGAAACUGGGGCUAAUACCGGAUAGGAGCUCCUGCUGCAUGGUGGGGGUUGGAAAGUUUCGGCGGUUGGGGAUGGACUCGCGGCUUAUCAGCUUGUUGGUGGGGUAGUGGCUUACCAAGGCUUUGACGGGUAGCCGGCCUGAGAGGGUGACCGGCCACAUUGGGACGGGGAUACGGCCCAGACUACUACGGGAGGCAGCAGUGGGGAAUAGUGCACAAUGGGCGGAAGCCUGAUGCAGCAACGCCGCGUGCGGGAUGACGGCCUUCGGGUUGUAAACCGCUUUCGCCUGUGACGAAGCGUGAGUGACGGUAAUGGGUAAAGAAGCACCGGCUAACUACGUG